RNAcentral lists this long non-coding RNA (489 nucleotides) under Mustela putorius furo (domestic ferret). RNAcentral's name for it is "lncRNA (ENSMPUG00000025709.1)". Lineage: Eukaryota; Metazoa; Chordata; Mammalia; Carnivora; Mustelidae. The record is from RNAcentral.
AAUGGCUCCAAUAUCCCUUGAGCCCUUUCCAGCUCCACGUAUGCAGCUUUUUUUAAAAUGCUGGCUGCUUGCUUCUCCUGAUCUCAGGAAUGUCUCCAAGAAGCUUCAGAUCUUGGUCCCCAAGCCAUGUGUGAUCUCCUCCCAGAUGGGUCUUCUCCACCCUUGUCAUCAGCCUUCAUACAUGGCCAUGAAAGUCCUGUUUUAGAAUCUCUUUGCUGGAAAAAUCAAUUUUUGUUUGAAGAUAGCUUUGAAAUUUUUGCUCGUAUUAUCACAUAAGCAUUCAUGUCAAUAUUGCAGAACAUACAUGUAUUAAAGGUUAUAAAGUCAAGAGAAUAAUAUUAUCAUUUAAUGAAACAUUGACUCUCAACUCUUAACUGCCAAGGUCCAUGUAGAAUACCAGAGAAGAUGACCAAAUAGGGAAUUUACAGUUUUUAACUGCUUUAGCCACAUCACAGAGGUAACUGAUUAGAUGUUAGGUAUUUGGUGGGA